RNAcentral lists this ribosomal RNA (416 nucleotides) under Grosmannia eucalyptophila. Its description in RNAcentral is "partial 28S ribosomal RNA". It matches the Rfam family "Eukaryotic large subunit ribosomal RNA", at positions 1 to 419 of the family's 3401-position model. Lineage: Eukaryota; Fungi; Ascomycota; Sordariomycetes; Ophiostomatales; Ophiostomataceae. The record is from RNAcentral.
UUGACCUCGGAUCAGGUAGGACUACCCGCUGAACUUAAGCAUAUCAAUAAGCGGAGGAAAAGAAACCAACAGGGAUUGCCCCAGUAACGGCGAGUGAAGCGGCAACAGCUCAGAUUUGGAAUCUGGCCUUCGGGCCCGAGUUGUAAUCUGGAAAGGAUGUUUCUGGCGCGGUGCCUUCCGAGUUCCCUGGAACGGGACCCCGAGAAGGGUGAGAGCCCCGUACGGUUGGACACCUAGCCUUUGUGAAACUCCUUCGACGAGUCGAGUAGUUUGGGAAUGCUGCUCAAAAUGGGAGGUAAAUUUCUUCUAAAGCUAAAUAUUGGCCAGAGACCGAUAGCGCACAAGUAGAGUGAUCGAAAGAUGAAAAGCACUUUGAAAAGAGGGUUAAAAAGUACGUGAAAUUGUUGAAAGGGAAG